This 137-nucleotide small RNA is filed under the name Pseudomonas duriflava. RNAcentral's name for it is "Pseudomonas sRNA P11". It matches the Rfam family "Pseudomonas sRNA P11". From Rfam's summary of the family: P11 is located between a putative threonine protein kinase and putative nitrate reductase and appears to be conserved in several Pseudomonas species. Lineage: Bacteria; Pseudomonadati; Pseudomonadota; Gammaproteobacteria; Pseudomonadales; Pseudomonadaceae. The record is from RNAcentral.
UAGUUACAAAACUGGCACGUCCUCUGCUUAAGGAUAGGCAUACAUCAAGCGCAGCCUUCAAUGGCGAAUGGCGGCGCUCCCGAUUGAACGGGACCGGACAAAGGCGUCCUCGCACUCUAGUGAUUGUGCGAGACGCC